AGAGUUUGAUCAUGGCUCAGAGCGAACGCUGGCGGCGUACUUAACACAUGCAAGUCGAACGAGGAUCGUCGGUGUAGCAAUACAUCGGCGGUUCUAGUGGCGCACGGGUGAGUAACACGUGGGUAACCUGCCCUUGAGUUCGGGAUACCCUCUCGAAAGGGAGGCUAAUACCGGAUACGUUCCUCGGAUUGCGAAGUCUGGGGAGGAAAGGUGGCGCAAGCUGCCGCUCUUGGAGGGGCUCGCGGCCUAUCAGCUAGUUGGUGAGGUAAUGGCUCACCAAGGCUAUGACGGGUAGCUGGUCUGAGAGGACGACCAGCCACACGGGAACUGAGACACGGUCCCGACUCCUACGGGAGGCAGCAGUGGGGAAUUUUCCGCAAUGGGCGAAAGCCUGACGGAGUGACGCCGCGUGGGGGACGAAGGCCUUCGGGUUGUAAACCCCUGUCAGAGGGAAAGAAGGGUGUCGGCGCGAUAACCGCCGUCAUCUGACGGUACCUUCAGAGGAAGCCCCGGCCAACUCUGUGCCAGCAGCCGCGGUAAUUC
RNAcentral lists this ribosomal RNA (543 nucleotides) under uncultured bacterium. RNAcentral's name for it is "bacterial SSU rRNA". It matches the Rfam family "Bacterial small subunit ribosomal RNA", at positions 8 to 526 of the family's 1533-position model. The record is from RNAcentral.